UACGGAGGGUGCAAGCGUUAUCCGGAUUCACUGGGUUUAAAGGGUGCGUAGGUGGAUUGGUAAGUCAGUGGUGAAAUCUCUGGGCUUAACUCAGAAACUGCCAUUGAUACUAUCAGUCUUGAAUACCGUGGAGGUCAGCGGAAUAUGUCAUGUAGCGGUGAAAUGCUUAGAUAUGACAUAGAACACCAAUUGCGAAGGCAGCUGGCUACACGAAUAUUGACACUGAGGCACGAAAGCGUGGGGAUCAAACAGG
RNAcentral lists this ribosomal RNA (253 nucleotides) under uncultured bacterium. RNAcentral describes it as "partial 16S ribosomal RNA". It matches the Rfam family "Bacterial small subunit ribosomal RNA", at positions 524 to 776 of the family's 1533-position model. RNAcentral also lists the same sequence under 1 other name. The record is from RNAcentral.